This 848-nucleotide long non-coding RNA is filed under the name Fukomys damarensis (Damara mole-rat). RNAcentral describes it as "lncRNA (ENSFDAG00000028199.1)". The record is from RNAcentral. Lineage: Eukaryota; Metazoa; Chordata; Mammalia; Rodentia; Bathyergidae.
CUUCCACUUUUACAAGUCACGCAUUAGGCUGCCUCUGAGUCACGUGCCACCCAAGCCGAUAGUCUUCUCUGUCCAGCAAGGACAGAAUGGAUCCUCUUGGGAGACAGCAUGAGCAGGACGUAAACUUGUCAUUCCAGGGCACAUCCUUAUCACGCCAGUCUUCCAACUGGAGCUUUAGACAGGAGCACAGCAGACACGCACAAACUCAUGGCGACCAAAGUUCUCCUCGUUAAACUUUUCCGUUCAUGGUGACCUCAGGAGCGCCCAAACACAGCAAGAAGAAAGAGUGGGAGGACAGUCAGCAAACAGCCUCUGGGGCAAGGCGCCUUAUCUUUUACAGCAUCGUCUUGGCUGAAGCAAUUGAGCAUCCCAGGCUUCUCGACAUCUACAUGUUGACUCCCUGCCCCUCAGCCUUUACCUUUCCUGCUUCGGGUUAAUCCCAUCUCUAAUUCUGCAGACUCAACCCAGCCCAGAAUUCUUAGUUAACUGUUAUUCCUGGCUCGUGAUAUCUACCUCUUCACUUGUUCUCCUUUUCUCAUUUGGAAAACCCAACAAAAAGAUAGAAGGCUGUAAUAUCUGCCUUAAUUCUGGGCAGCUAACACAAGGAAGACCAAAGAACUUCCUACAUGAGGCACAAACAAAACAGAAACAUGCGCUGCAGCUGCCCCUGGGAGUCAAGCAGCCAGACUGUGAGAAAGGGGGCCCCACACUGUCCCAGCACCUUGAGAUGACACAACCAGAAGCUUCUCCUGUUCACAGAUGUCUUGUCAGAGUCUGGGGACCUGCAGGACUGGGCAGCGCUCGGCACAGGUAAGUGUCUCAUGAGAGAACAGAAGGGAACAUAAAGA